This 211-nucleotide unclassified non-coding RNA is filed under the name plant metagenome. Its description in RNAcentral is "partial contains small subunit ribosomal RNA, internal transcribed spacer 1, and 5.8S ribosomal RNA". The record is from RNAcentral.
UUUCCGUAGGUGAACCUGCGGAAGGAUCAUUCAUAAUAAAGUGUUUUAUGGCACUUUUUAAAAAUCCAUACCCACCUUGUGUGCAAUGUUAGAUCUCGUCAAUCUUGGCGAGAUUUUUAUACAUCAACUCAUUCUUUAACUAAUUUGUCUGAAUAAUAUUAUGAAUACUUAAUUCAAAAUACAACUUUCAACAACGGAUCUCUUGGCUCUC